GAUUAGCUAGUUGGUUUUUGAGUUAAAAGCUCACCAAGGCUUUUAUCAGUAGCUAUUCUUUGCGGAUGUAUAGCCACACUGGGAUUGAGAAAGGCCCAGACUCUUACGAGAGGCAGCAGUGGGGAAUAUUGGACAAUGAGCGAAAGCUUGAUCCAGCAAUGUUACGUGUGUGAUGAAGGGAAACUGUAAAACACUUUUUUUUAAGAAUAAGAAAUUUUAACUAAUAAUUAAAAUUUUUGAAUGUAUUAAAAGAAUAAGUACCGGCUAAUCACGUGCCAGCAGCCGCGGUAAUACGUGGGGUGCUAGCGUUAAUCUAAAUUAUUGGGCGUAAAGCGUGCUAAGGUUGUUUAAAAAGAUUUAUAUUAAAUUUUAAUAUUUUAAAAAGUAUAAAUUACUAUUAAACUUGAGUAUAGUAUAAGAAAAUAGAAUUUUAUGUGUAGCGGUGAAAUGUGUUGAUAUAUAAAAGAAUGCCGAAGGCGAAAGCAGUUUUCUCGACUAUUUACUGACACUGAAGCAGGAAAGCGUGGGUAGCGAACAGGAUUAGAUACCCUGGUAGUCCACGCCGUAAACGAUGUCAAUUAGCUGUUAAAAAUUUUUUUAGUGGCGUAGCUAACGCGUUAAAUUGACCGCCUGGGGAUUACGAUCGCAAGAUUAAAACUCAAAGGAAUUGACGGGGAUCAGCACAAGCGGUGGAUGAUGUGGAUUAAUUCGAUGAUACACGAAAAACCUCACCUACUCUUGACAUGGUCAGAAUUUUAUUGAGAAAUAAAAGUGCUUGAAAAAGAACUGACACACAGGUGUUGCAUGGCUGUUGUCAGCUCGUGUCGUGAGAUGUUGGGUUAAGUCCCGCAACGAGCGUAACCCUUACUCUUAGUUGCUAAUUUUAAGAACUUUAAGAGAACUGCCAAUGAUAAGUUAGGAGGAAGGAGGGGAUGACUUCAAGUCCUCAUGGCCCUUAUGAGUAGGGCUUCACACGUCAUACAAUGGUUGAUACAAUAAGUUGCAAUAUUGUGAAAUUGAGCUAAUCUUUAAAAUCAAUCUCAGUUCGGAUUGUACUCUGCAACUCGAGUACAUGAAGCCGGAAUCGCUAGUAAUCG
RNAcentral lists this ribosomal RNA (1097 nucleotides) under Candidatus Nasuia symbiont of Arthaldeus pascuellus. RNAcentral describes it as "bacterial SSU rRNA". It matches the Rfam family "Bacterial small subunit ribosomal RNA", at positions 239 to 1344 of the family's 1533-position model. Lineage: Bacteria; Pseudomonadati; Pseudomonadota; Betaproteobacteria. The record is from RNAcentral.